CUUCAUUAAAAAUCAUCUUUCUAGGCUUUGGCUGUGGCCAGAGUUGAGAUUCGGUGCCCAGGGCCACUGAGACCUCAGUUUACUGCCUGCUGCCCCAGAGUGGGAGGAUGAAACCCAGGCUCCUACAUUU
Molecule: small nucleolar RNA, 130 nt
Organism: Mesocricetus auratus (golden hamster)
Lineage: Eukaryota; Metazoa; Chordata; Mammalia; Rodentia; Cricetidae
Source: Ensembl